AGUACCUGAAACCGAUUGCCUACAAACAGUGGGAGCCUGAAAUGGUGACCACGUACCUUUUGUAUAAUGGGUCAGCGACUUAGUGUGACGAGCAAGCUUAAGCCGGUAGGUGUAGGCGCAGCGAAAGCGAGUCUGAAUAGGGCGUUCAGUUCGUCGCAUUAGACCCGAAACCAAGUGAUCUAGCCAUGAGCAGGCUGAAGGUAAGGUAACACUUACUGGAGGGCCGAACCCGCAUCUGUUGCAAUAGAUUGGGAUGACUUGUGGCUAGGGGUGAAAGGCCAAUCAAACUUGGAAAUAGCUGGUUCUCCGCGAAAUCUAUUUAGGUAGAGCGUCGACCGAAUACCCCGGGGGGUAAAGCACUGCAUGGGCUAGGGGUACUCACCGUCCUACCAAACCUAAGCAAACUCUGAAUACCCGGGAGUACUAGUCGGCAGACACACGGCGGGUGCUAACGUCCGUCGUGAAGAGGGAAACAACCCUGACCAGCAGCUAAGGUCCCCAAGUCAUGGCUAAGUGGGAAAGGAUGUGAGACUCCCAAAACAACCAGGAUGUUGGCUUAGAAGCAGCCAUCAUUUAAAGAAAGCGUAACAGCUCACUGGUCUAAGUAAGGGGUUUUGCGCCGAAAAUGUAACGGGGCUAAAGCCAUGCACCGAAGCUCUGGGUUUACACGCAAGUGUAAGCGGUAGCGGAGCGUUCCGUAAGCCUGCGAAGCGGCAUCUGUGAGGAGCCGUGGAGGUAUCGGAAGUGCGAAUGCUGACAUGAGUAACGAUAAAGAGGGUGAGAGACCCUCUCGCCGUAAGUCCAAGGGUUCCUGCUUAAAGUUAAUCUGAGCAGGGUUAGCCGGCCCCUAAGGCGAGGCCGAAAGGCGUAGUCGAUGGGAAUCACGUUAAUAUUCGUGAGCCUGGAGGUAGUGACGGAUCGUGUGUGUUGUUCGACCUUAUCGGAUUGGUCGGGCAGCGAAGCGGUCCCAGGAAAUAGCUCCUCCUUAUAGCCCGUACCCUAAACCGACACAGGUGGACUGGUAGAGAAUACCAAGGCGCUUGAGAGAACUCUGCUGAAGGAACUCGGCAAAUUGCACGCGUAACUUCGGAAGAAGCGUGACCCAUGUCUACGCAAGUGGAUGUGGGUGGCACAGACCAGGGGGUAGCGACUGUUUAUCAAAAACACAGGGCUCUGCGAAGUCGCAAGACGACGUAUAGGGUCUGACGCCUGCCCGGUGCUGGAAGGUUAAGAGGAGAGGUGCAAGCUUUGAAUCGAAGCCCCAGUAAACGGCGGCCGUAACUAUAACGGUCCUAAGGUAGCGAAAUUCCUUGUCGGGUAAGUUCCGACCUGCACGAAUGGCGUAACGACUUCCCCGCUGUCUCCAGCAGAGACUCAGUGAAA
RNAcentral lists this ribosomal RNA (1383 nucleotides) under metagenome. RNAcentral's name for it is "bacterial LSU rRNA". It matches the Rfam family "Bacterial large subunit ribosomal RNA", at positions 545 to 2041 of the family's 2925-position model. The record is from RNAcentral.